This 654-nucleotide long non-coding RNA is filed under the name Malus domestica (apple). RNAcentral's name for it is "long non-coding RNA (MDOM_LNC019311)". The record is from RNAcentral. Lineage: Eukaryota; Viridiplantae; Streptophyta; Magnoliopsida; Rosales; Rosaceae.
ACAACUUCAAUGAAGAAAGCAUGCCGAUCUGAACAAUAGAAAAUGGAGUUUCGAAGCUCACAACAAAUCUGACGGGUUGACAGAAAAAUAAUAACCAGUCAUUCAUCAUACCUGGAUUUCUGGAGUUAUACUGCUCCGAGGGAUCUCAAAUUUGGAUAUAUUGUAAUUCACGAGCUGAGGAACAACUUCAAUGAAGAAAGCAUACCGAUCUGAACAAGAGAAAAUGGAGUUUCGAAGCUCACAACAAAUCUGACGGGUUGACAGAAAAAUAAUAACCAGUCAUUCAUCAUACCUGGAUUUCUGGAGUUAUACUGCUCCGAGGGAUCUCAAAUUUGGAUAUGUUGUAGUUCACAAGCUGAGGAACAACUUCAAUGAAGAAAGCAUGCUGAUCUGAGCAAGAGAAAAUAGAGUUUCAAAGCUCACAACAAAUCUGACGGGUUGACAGACAAAUGAUAAACAGUCACUCAUCAUACCUGGAUUUCUAGAGUUAUACUGCUCCGAGGGACCUCAAAUUUGGAUAUGUUGUAGUUCACAAGUUAAGGAACAACUUCGAUGAAGAACGUAUGUUGAUCUGAACAAGGGAAAAUGGAGUUUCGAAGCUCACAACAAGUCUGACGGAUUAACAGAACAUUGAUGAACAGUUACUCAUCAUAC